ACGGAAGGCAGCAGUGGGGAAUAUUGGGCAAUGGGGGAAACCCUGACCCAGCAACGCCGCGUGAAGGAAGAAGGCCUUCGGGUUGUAAACUUCUUUUACCAGGGACGAUAAUGACGGUACCUGGAGAAAAAGCAACGGCUAACUACGUGCCAGCAGCCGCGGUAAUACGUAGGUUGCAAGCGUUGUCCGGGUUUACUGGGUGUAAAGGGCGUGUAGGCGGAGCUGCAAGUCAGAUGUGAAAUCCCGGGGCUCAACCCCGGAACUGCAUUUGAAACUGUAGCCCUUGAGUAUCGGAGAGGCAAGCGGAAUUCCUAGUGUAGCGGUGAAAUGCGUAGAUAUUAGGAAGAACACCGGUGGCGAAGGCGGCUUUCUGGACUGUAACUGACACUGAGGCACGAAAGCGUGGGGAGCAAACAGGAUUAGAUACCCUGGUA
This 434-nucleotide ribosomal RNA is filed under the name uncultured Oscillospiraceae bacterium. RNAcentral describes it as "bacterial SSU rRNA". It matches the Rfam family "Bacterial small subunit ribosomal RNA", at positions 341 to 792 of the family's 1533-position model. The record is from RNAcentral. Lineage: Bacteria; Bacillati; Bacillota; Clostridia; Eubacteriales; Oscillospiraceae.